Molecule: ribosomal RNA, 316 nt
Filed under: uncultured bacterium
Lineage: Bacteria
Description: bacterial SSU rRNA
Rfam family: Bacterial small subunit ribosomal RNA
Source: RNAcentral
GACGAACGCUGGCGGCGUGCUUAACACAUGCAAGUCGAGCGGUAAGGCCCUUUCGGGGGUACGACGAGCGGCGAACGGGUGGAGUAACAACGUGGGUGGACCUCGCCCUCCAGCUCUGGGAGUAAGCCUCGGGAAACCGGGGUACCGUAAUAACCGGAUAUGACUCCAUGACGCAUGUUGUGGGGCGGAAAGCCUUGUGCGGCUGAGGAUGGGCCCGCGGCCUAUCAGCUUGUUGGUGGGGUGAUGGCCUACCAAGGCGACGACGGGUAGCCGGCCUGAGAGGGCGACCGGCCACACUGGGACUGAGACACGGCCC